AGCUGUAACAGUUACUCACAACCAAGUCUCACCCCCAGACAUUCUGAGUGCCACCACCUCAGAGGCUUUCCAAGGCUGUGUCCUUCUGCCUGCAGCAAAUGAGCACCCCGACUCUUAGGUUUUGGAAAUUGUUCUGGACUGAACUGUGUCCCUCCAAAAUUCACAUGUUGAAAUACCUCAGAAAGUGACUGUAUUUGGAGACGUGGCCUUUAAAGAGGUGGGCCCUAAAUCCAGUGACAAGUGUCCUUAUAAGAGACACGCAGAGGAGAGAGAUAAAGCCACGUGAAGAUGGAGGCAGAGAUUAGAAUGAUGCAGCCACAAGCCAAGGACACCUGGAGUCACCAGAAACCUAACAAGGCAAGGAAGGAGUCUCCUCUAGAGCCUUCAGAGGGCCUGUGGCCCGGACAACACCUUGAUUUUGGACUUCUGGUCUCCAGAACAAUGAAAGAAUAAAUUUCUGUUGUUUUCAGCCACCAAGUCUGUAGUAAUUUGCUACAGCAGCUUCAGGAAACUAAUACGACAUGUAAAAUAGUUUCAA
Molecule: long non-coding RNA, 538 nt
Filed under: Equus asinus (donkey)
Lineage: Eukaryota; Metazoa; Chordata; Mammalia; Perissodactyla; Equidae
Description: lncRNA (ENSEASG00005036219.1)
Source: RNAcentral